GGAUUUAUCUGGUGGAGAAAAAUCCUGAAAUUUUUUUGGGGAAAAAAAAAUCCCUGAAAUUUGGGAUUUAUUUGGGGGAAAAUCCGAAAGUUUUGGAUUUACGAGAAGGGAAAAAAUGGUAAAAAUUUGGUGGGAAAUCCCAGAAAUUUGAGCUUCAGCUGUGCCCAAAAUUUGGGAUUUUUUUUUUUUUUUUGGAUGGGGAAAAAUGUGAAAAAACUGGGGGGAAAAAAAUCCUAAAAAAAGGGGGAGGAAAAAAUCCCCAAAAUUUGGGGAAAAUCCCCAAAUUGUCCCGAAUUUGUCCCAAAUUGGAGGGAGGGGACAGAGCCCUUCAGCCCUGGGCGAGGACAGGUGACAGCGGGAGGUGCCACCAGGUGUGCCCAGGUGCCACCAGGUGCCACCUCACCUGUCCAGGUGUCACCAGGUGUGUCCAGGUGCCACCAGGUGUGCCCAGGUGUCACCUCAGGUGUGUCCAGGUGUCACCAGGUGUGCCCAGGUGUCACCUCAGGUGUGUCCAGGUGCCACCUCACCUGUCCAGGUGUCACCAGGUGUGUCCAGGUGUCACCUCAGGUGUGUCCAGGUGCCACCUCACCUGCCCAGGUGCCACCAGGUGUGUCCAGGUGCCACCUCAGGUGUGGCCAGGUGCCACCAGGUGUGUCCAGGUGCCACCUCAGGUGUGUCCCAGUGUCACCUCAGGUGUCCCAGUGUCACCUCAGGUGUCCAGGUGCCACCUCAGGUGUGCCCAGGUGUCACCUCAGGUGUGCCCAGGUGCCACCAGGUGUGUCCAGGUGCCACCUCAGGUGUGCCCAGGUGCCACCUCAGGUGUGCCCAGGUGCCACCAGGUGUGCCCAGGUGCCACCAGGUGUGUCCAGGUGUCACCUCAAGUGUGUCCAGGUGCCACCAGGUGUGCCCAGGUGCCACCUCAGGUGUGUCACACCUGGCCCACAGGCACGGGGAGGUGACAGGUGCCACCAGGUGCCACCGACACACAGCGAAACCAACGGUGCCACCUCCUGUCCUGUCCUGGUGCCGUCCCCAGGUGCCUCCAGGUGUGCCCAGGUGCCACCAGCUCUCCCCAGGUGUCUCCAGGUGUGUCCCAGCUGUUCCCAGGUGCCACCAGGUGUGCCCAGGUGCCUCCAGGGUGUCCUCAGGGUGUCUCCAGGUGCUACCAGGUUUCUCUCGGGUGAUCCCAGGUAUGCCCAGAUGUCUCCAGGUGCCACCAGGUGUGCCCAGGUGCCUCCAGGGUGUCCUCAGGGUGUCCCCAGGUGCCACCAGGUGUGCCCAGGUGUCACCAGGUGUCCUCAGGAUGUCCUCAAGGUGUCCCAGGUGUCCCCAGGAUGUCCUCAGGGGAUUCUCAGGUGUGCCCACAUAUCUCCAGGUGUGCCCAGCUGUCUCCAGGAUGUCCUCAAGGUGUUCCCAGGUGUCCCCAGGUGUGCCCAGGUGUCCUCAGGAUGUCCUCAAGGUGUUCCCAGGUGUCUCUAGGAUGUCCCCAGGCAUGCACCAGGUGUCCCCAGGUGUACUCAGGUGCCCUCAGGAUGUCCUCAAGGUGUUCCCAGGUGU
This is a long non-coding RNA of Lonchura striata (white-rumped munia), 1557 nucleotides long. The record is from Ensembl. Lineage: Eukaryota; Metazoa; Chordata; Aves; Passeriformes; Estrildidae.